GUUCCUUUCCAGUUAUUGAUCAUGAAUAAGAAGAGACACUCGAAAAGUGGCCUCUUGAUAGAAACGUAUUUGUCUAUGGGCAGAACAUCUCACAAACACCACUAGAAAACAUAUAGGAAAUGGGAUAAAUGAAAAGUGUUCUUGUUGAUAAAGACACGCAGAAAUUUUCAUCAAAUAAUCUGAAGACCAAUGGGGAAAAAAUGGGCAAAUAGCGAUGAAAUUAACUGAGGGUUUGCGGUCUAAAUUCCCAUUGACUAAUAACAAACAUUGCACUAAUUCCGUCUCUGACAAAUUCGAUUUGCAAUAACAAGACGCAAUUUAUCCAUCGGCAAAACACCAUCGUUCACAUUGGAUCUGGAUUAAAUUCGCGAUCAAUUUGUUCUGCUUAUUUCCUGACUAAUCUGCCUCAAUACAGCGUUAUGCAGAAUUAAUAGAUUUGUAGUGACCGGCGGCGGCGUCGGCGUCGGCGGCGCUCGGAAAUAAAGGGCCGAAUUCAAUCGAAUUUGCCCGUCCCGUUCGGGAAAUAAUAGGAAAGGCCUACAGGAAAUUAAAAUGAAGUUGUACUUUCGCCAACUUCCCAGACACUGCAGAUACAAGAAAAAAUGCGAUUUUUUCAAUAACAUUUCAAGAUUUGGAAACUGCAACUUCUAAAGCAUUAAGAUCUAAGUACUUGGAAGCUUUACUCACUUUCAAGUUAAAAUUGAAUCAAAAACGACUUUCA
Molecule: long non-coding RNA, 721 nt
Organism: Dendroctonus ponderosae (mountain pine beetle)
Lineage: Eukaryota; Metazoa; Arthropoda; Insecta; Coleoptera; Curculionidae
Exons: 2
Source: RefSeq, a predicted model, not a curated record